ACGGGAGGCAGCAGCUACGAAUAUUCCGCAAUGGACGAAAGUCUGACGGAGCGACGCCGCGUGGAUGAUGAAGGCCGUACGGUUGUAAAAUCCUUUUAUGACUGAGGAAUAAGUAUGGUGAGAGAAACGCCAUAUGGUGACUGUAGGUCAUGAAUAAGCAACGGCUAAUUACGUGCCAGCAGCCGCGGUAACACGUAAGUUGCGAGCGUUGUUCGGAAUUAUUGGGCGUAAAGGGCAUGUAGGCGGUUUUGCAAGCUUGGUGUGAAAUCCCGGAGCUUAACUCCGGAAUUGCGUUGAGAACUGCAUAACUAGAGUCACUGAGGGGCAAUCAGAAUUCCAGGUGUAGGGGUGAAGUCUGUAGAUAUCUGGAAGAAUACCAAUGGCGAAGGCAGGUUACCAGCAGAUGACUGACGCUGAGGUGCGAAGGUGCGGGGAGCAAACAGGAUUAGAUACCCUGGUA
This 460-nucleotide ribosomal RNA is filed under the name uncultured Treponema sp. RNAcentral describes it as "bacterial SSU rRNA". It matches the Rfam family "Bacterial small subunit ribosomal RNA", at positions 341 to 792 of the family's 1533-position model. The record is from RNAcentral. Lineage: Bacteria; Pseudomonadati; Spirochaetota; Spirochaetia; Treponematales; Treponemataceae.